Molecule: long non-coding RNA, 1908 nt
Organism: Fukomys damarensis (Damara mole-rat)
Lineage: Eukaryota; Metazoa; Chordata; Mammalia; Rodentia; Bathyergidae
Exons: 3
Source: RefSeq, a predicted model, not a curated record
ACUGGCCAGUGAAAACAAAUCCACCCCAAGACACCUGUUGGAGGAGGCUAGAUCUGUCUUGCUGUACCUGAUGGUCUUGUUCUCCACACACCUUGUGAGUGAAGCUGCCCACACCAUGUCUUUCACAGCCCUUCUAGCUGAUGUCACCUCUACCUGAGUCAUGCAGGCAUUGUUGGGGUUGUUGUGGUGGGAAGACUAGUUUGGGGUCUUGGUUUUACCACUUAUGGAGAAAGUCAUUUGACCUCUUAAGCUUCAUCCUCCUUAUAUGGAAAAGGAAAAUAAUAACCAGUGCUUCAUGGCACUGCUGAGAAGAUUGAAUAAGGUGAUAGGAUGGUGACAAUGACCCCCCACCCAGUGAGAAAGCGGAAAAUUGCACCUGCUCUCUCAUCUGUGGGGAUGGAUUUCUGUGGAAAGAGUCACUCCCCUUUCUGGGAGUCCAUUCUGUGCGAUGAUUGUGGGCCAGUGUGCUGUAUAGUUUGUGAGGUCACAGAAGUCCUUGGAGGUCAGAAUCCCAGCCCUCACUCCAGUAGCACCAGCAUUCACCACUCUGUUCUUCUUAACCAGGGAACCCCAAAGCCCCUCUCAACUCUUCCAAUGUGAAGCUUGGAGAGCUUGGAGAGGCUCCACAGCCUGUGGCAGCAGGAAGACACACAGAUGUUGGGAAAAGGAGAGAUGGUCCCAGGCAUUUUGAAGAAAGUGCUAAUCAAUGUCCUAAUGGAAGGUGGCCCCUGGGACUGCCCACCUCAUUGCUCUGGACAGAAAGAGAUUGGCCCAGCACCCCUGCCCUGCAGUGGACACUCUGGCAGCUGAAGUCUGCCAGGAACUCAGGGCUCUGGAGCCACAACCUGGAGGCUCAGGCUCACACUCCACCGCCUCUGGUGGUGCCCUGUCAGCUCCCUGGCCCUCACGUUCCUUUUGUGUGAAUUGAGCAUGACAACAAUGUCUAUAUGAUGUGGCUGUUGAAUAAAUUAAAUAAAAUGCACAUGUACGUUAGUCAGCCAAGAGCCCAGCACACAGUAGUCCCUGAACACGUUAGUGGGGACUCCUCCCGUUGCCUUUGGUCCCUCUCUUUCGUGGCUGCAAUAUAGCCCUGCUGGUCUUAGCUGGUUUAAGUGUGGUAAAUGCUGUGCAUAAAGACGUGAGAUGAUAGAUGCGCGUGACUGAACCACUGAUGGUUUUAGAUAGAGUGGACAGGGGUGGUCCCUUUGAGGAGGUAACAUCUGAACUGAGGUGGUUUUUUUUGGUUUGUUUUUUAUUUUUGUGCUGGAGAUUGAACCCAGGGCUUUCAUGUUGAGCCAGGUCCACCCCACCUCACUUUUUGUGCAUGACAGUGUACUACUAAUACGUUGUUAGAUUGCCCAGGCUGGGCUCGGACUUGUGAUUCUCCUGCCUCAGCUUGCCACAGUGCUGGGAUUACAAGCGUGCACCAUCACACUCAGCUCGAACUGAAAUUUGAAUGCUGAGAAAGAUUGGACAGUGAAAAAACUGGCAGAGGUGGGAAGGUGGAGCAGAAGAAGGGAGUUUCAGUGUGGGGAACAGCAAGCAGAACAAUCCUAAGAGGGGAGCCAGUCCAGCAUCUUCAAAGUGCGGGGAGACGGGGGCAUAAUAAAUGAGGAAGAGUGCAGAGUGUGCUGGAGGUGUAUUCAGGGGCUCGGUUCAGGGCCUGGCAGAGCAGAAAAGGAAAGACUGCUCCUGAGUAAGGGGACGAGGGAAUGGCCCCUGGAACUGAGAUUCUGGGAAUGCCUUUCCCAGGCUUCUUGCCUUCUUCAGCUCUGGGGGACAUCCAGACAACUAAAUCUGAUAUUCUGUGGCACAUUGGAGGGUAUGAAAGGAUCUAAGAACUCUCCCAGGGACAGAAAAAAAAUAUAAGAAGUCGAGUGUGGUGGCACAUACCUGUAAUCCCAGCAC